This 510-nucleotide ribosomal RNA is filed under the name uncultured Pseudomonadota bacterium. Its description in RNAcentral is "bacterial SSU rRNA". It matches the Rfam family "Bacterial small subunit ribosomal RNA", at positions 543 to 1050 of the family's 1533-position model. The record is from RNAcentral. Lineage: Bacteria; Pseudomonadati; Pseudomonadota.
GUCCGGAAUCAUUGGGCGUAAAGGGUCCGUAGGUGGCUUGAAAAGUCUUAUGUGAAAUCUCUUGGCUACAACCAAGAAAAGCCAUAAGAAACUUUCAUGCUAGAGAUCAUCAGAGGGAGGUAGAAUUUCAGGUGUAGUGGUGAAAUGCGUAGAUAUCUGAAGGAAUACCAAUGGCGAAAGCAGCCUCCUGGGGUGAAUCUGACAUUGAGGGACGAAAGCGUGGGUAGCGAAGAGGAUUAGAUACCCUCGUAGUCCAUGCCGUAAACGAUGUGUGUUAGACGUUGGAAAUUUAUUUUCAGUGUCGCAGCGAAAGCGAUAAACACACCGCCUGGGGAGUACGACCGCAAGGUUAAAACUCAAAUGAAUUGACGGGGACCCGCACAAGUAGUGGAGCAUGUGGUUUAAUUCGAAGAUACGCGCAGAACCUUACCAACACUUGACAUGUUCGUCGCGACUCUAAGAGAUUAGAGUUUUCGGUUCGGCCGGACGAAACACAGGUGCUGCAUGGCU